This is a non-coding RNA of Capsicum annuum, 107 nucleotides long. Lineage: Eukaryota; Viridiplantae; Streptophyta; Magnoliopsida; Solanales; Solanaceae. The record is from Rfam.
UGAUGAUGGUGAGGGCAAUUUCUGAGCUUACCCUUAAAUCUCUCCCAAGAUUGGUAAAGACUUUCUCUUUCUUUCUUCCUAAAACUUAGAAUCUCUCUUCUAAAAUA